GAUGAACGCUGGCGGCGUGCCUAAUACAUGCAAGUCGAGCGAACAGACCAGUACCUGGCUCCUCUGGCGGUAGCGGCGGACGUAUGAGUAACACGUGGAGAACCUAGCUAUAGGACUAGGAUAGCUUCGUGAAACCAGAGCUGAUACCGGAUUUUAUAUGCAACCGCAUUGGUCAAUAGUGAUAUACGGUGUUGCUGUCACUUAUGGCUUGAUGCGAGCCGCAGUGGCUAGUUGGUACGGUGACGGCUUACCGAGGCCGCGGUGCGUAGGCGACCUGAGACGGCGAUCGGCCACCCUGGAACUGAGGCACGGUGCAGACGCCUGAGGGAGGCAGCAGUAGGGAAUCUUCCGCAAUGGGCGAAAGGCUGAAGGAGCAAAGCGGCGUGAGUGAUGAAGGUCUUCGGAUCGUAAAACUCUGUUAUCAGGGAAGAAUAAAUGUGUAAGUAACUAUGCACGUUUUGACGGUAGCUAAUCAAAAAGCCACGGCCAACUACGUG
Molecule: ribosomal RNA, 497 nt
Filed under: uncultured bacterium
Lineage: Bacteria
Description: partial 16S ribosomal RNA
Rfam family: Bacterial small subunit ribosomal RNA
Source: RNAcentral